CAAGCGGGAGGAAGGCGCGGAUGACGUCAAGUCAGUAUGGCUCUUACGCCCAGGGCUGCACACGUGCUACAAUGGCCGGUACAGUGGGAAGCGACACCGCGAGGUGGAGCCCAAUCCCCAAAACCGGCCCCAGUUCAGAUUGCAGUCUGCAACUCGACUGCAUGAAGUCGGAAUCGCUGGUAAAGGCGUAUCAGCAACGACGCCUUGAAUACGUUCCCGGGCCUU
RNAcentral lists this ribosomal RNA (225 nucleotides) under uncultured Victivallaceae bacterium. RNAcentral describes it as "partial 16S ribosomal RNA". It matches the Rfam family "Bacterial small subunit ribosomal RNA", at positions 1159 to 1382 of the family's 1533-position model. The record is from RNAcentral. Lineage: Bacteria; Pseudomonadati; Lentisphaerota; Lentisphaeria; Victivallales; Victivallaceae.